This 404-nucleotide ribosomal RNA is filed under the name uncultured bacterium. RNAcentral describes it as "bacterial SSU rRNA". It matches the Rfam family "Bacterial small subunit ribosomal RNA", at positions 355 to 776 of the family's 1533-position model. The record is from RNAcentral.
UGGGGAAUAUUGGACAAUGGGCGAAAGCCUGAUCCAGCAAUGCCGCGUGAGUGAUGAAGGCCUUAGGGUUGUAAAGCUCUUUUACUGGGGAUGAUAAUGACAGUACCCAGAGAAUAAGCUCCGGCUAACUCCGUGCCAGCAGCCGCGGUAAUACGGAGGGAGCUAGCGUUGUUCGGAAUUACUGGGCGUAAAGCGCGCGUAGGCGGCUUAUCAAGUCAGGGGUGAAAUCCCGGGGCUCAACCCCGGAACUGCCUCUGAAACUGGUAGACUAGAAUCCUGGAGAGGCGAGUGGAAUUCCGAGUGUAGAGGUGAAAUUCGUAGAUAUUCGGAAGAACACCAGUGGCGAAGGCGACUCGCUGGACAGGUAUUGACGCUGAGGUGCGAAAGCGUGGGGAGCAAACAGG